AUGAACGCUGGCGGUAUGCCUAACACAUGCAAGUCGAACGGGGUAGCAAUACCUAGUGGCGGACGGGUGAGGAAUACGUAGGGAUCUGCCCUUAAGUGGGGGAUAACCCGGGGAAACCCGGAUUAAUACCGCAUGAUCUCGCAAGAGCAAAGAGGGGGACCGCAAGGCCUCUCGCUUUUGGAGGAACCUACGUCGGAUUAGCUAGUUGGUGAGGUAAUGGCUCACCAAGGCGACGAUCCGUAACUGGUCUGAGAGGAUGAUCAGUCACACCGGAACUGAGACACGGCCCAGACUCCUACGGGAGGCAGCAGUGGGGAAUAUUGGACAAUGGGCGAAAGCCUGAUCCAGCAAUACCGCGUGUGUGAAGAAGGCCUUCGGGUUGUAAAGCACUUUAAGUUGGGAAGAAAAAGCUUCACCUAAUACGUGAAGCCUUGACGGUACCGACAGAAUAAGCACCGGCUAACUCUGUGCCAGCAGCCGCGGUAAUACAGAGGGUGCUAGCGUUAAUCGGAUUUACUGGGCGUAAAGCGUGCGUAGGUGGUUUGAUAAGUCGAUUGUGAAAGCCCCGGGCUUAACCUGGGAAUUGCGGUCGAUACUGUCAGACUCGAAAACGGUAGAGGGAGGUGGAACUCCAGGU
This 637-nucleotide ribosomal RNA is filed under the name uncultured bacterium. RNAcentral's name for it is "bacterial SSU rRNA". It matches the Rfam family "Bacterial small subunit ribosomal RNA", at positions 29 to 674 of the family's 1533-position model. The record is from RNAcentral.